UCAGGCAAUUUAUUAAAAUAUAAUUUUCUUAUUUUUUUACUUUCUUCUAUAUUAUAUGUUCCUUUAUAAUAAUAUUCUUUAAAUGCGCACGUAUACUCAUCUAUAUAGCAAAUAUUACAUAUUACUAAUUUUAGCAUUAAAUUUCUAAUCGUAUCUUUCUCUUUAUUUUGCUCUUCUUCUUCUGUUGUUAAACUACUAAAUUUUCUCUUAUAUCUAUUUCAUAUUUUUUCAAUAUUUCUGUUGGUAGUAUUUUAGUAGGUAUUGAUAUUCCUUCUAUUUUAUUAUCAGAUCUUAGUACUUUAUUACUUGUUUCGGCUAGGUUUAAAAAUCAUAAUUUUACUGUUUCUAUUAAUGUCUUUUCUAUAUAUUCUGGUGUAUUUGUUGUAUCUAUUUUAUUAUCUUAUAAUUAUUUUGACAUGUAUCCUACCCAUAGUUGUUUGUAUCUAUUACACAGUCUAAAUCUAAAAAGUUGUAAUUAAUUAUUUAUUUUGGUGUCCAUUUAUUAUAUUUAUCUUUUGAAUUAUAUCUUUUAAACUUAUUUUUGUAAUUAUAGGUUGGUUUUCUUAUUUCUGAUGUACUAGGUAUUAUAUUUUAAUCUAGAGUAUUUACUUCUGUAUUUAUUAGUUCUAGAUUUUCUUUAUUAAUUACUUUUUAUUUUUUCAUUAAUUUUUAGUUUUCCUAUGUUUUCUUGAAUUUCUGUAUAUGUUUCACUAUCUUCCGAAUCAUAAUUAUAUGUUUCUUCAGCAUCUAUUGUAUUUAUUUCUAAUUUACUGGUUUCUGAUUUUUUUUUUCUAACUUUUCUUUAAAUUGAUUUAUCUCAAUUAAUAAUUUUUGUUCUUUAUCUUUUUCUUCUUUUUCUUUUUGUCUUUCUUCAUACAGGGCUUUUAGCAUUUGUAGUUCUUUCUCUAAUUUAGCAUUCCUACUAUUUUUAGUCUCUUCUAUUUUUCGUAUUUCUUCUGUGGUUUGUUGUUUUAUUUUAUGUAUUUCUUUUUUCUGUCUAUCUCUUUGUUUUCUCUUUCUAUUCUUACCAUGGUUGUCAACUUAUCUUUUAAUUUUAAUUAUUCUUUUUCUAACAUUAAAUAAAAAUAUUCACCUAUUUUCUUAUAUCUCCUUCCUAAAUUAGAGAACACUAUUUUUAUUUUUAAUUCAUCAUGAUUUUCAUAUUUUUUUCAUCUAUUAUAAAUUCUUCUUUGUUCAUUUUAUUUAAAUGUAUAUAGGUUAUGUUGAUAUAUAUAUAUUUUAGACUAACUAUUGUUGAUUCUAAAUUUGAUAUUUCUUCUUUUUGUGCAUUUACUGAGUUUUUACUAACUCCGGCGAUUAUAUUAUAAUGUAGUCUUUCUAUCCUUAUUUUUAAUUCUUUUUCUUUGCGUUUGUCAGAUAUUAUUUGUUUUAAUUCUUUAUAUUGUUGUGGUUUUUGUACGUUCUUCAUCUAAACAAAUAUUAUAAAUAUUGUUUUGGUGGAUAUCUAAAUCUAAUUUUUAUCGUAAUUAUUAAAUAAAUCCAAAUAUAUACAACUUUCGUAACUUUAAUUAGCAUAGGCUCUGAUACCAAUUGUAGGGGGUGUGGAUAACUUGGGUAAUAAAUAAAUCUAUUAUAGUUCUAAUGGAUCUAUUUUUAUUUGCACGUGGAUAUUUAUUAACUUCUCUAAACAUUUUUAUUUUUAGUGUAUUUACAUAACAAAAUAUGAUCAUUUUAGAUUACUAUAUACUAGAUUAUUCUUAAAGAACAUAUUCUUCGGUCACUAUUAUCAUGGUAAUCUGGAUACUUUUCCCUUACACAUCGCCUCUACUCUGGCUACUCCCCUAUCACGACUUUUUUGCCUCACCGAUUUUACCUAUAGGAUAGCAUAGUUCUUAGAGAUUUUUCUCUUUUUCCACUUUGCUAAUAAACUUCUUAACAUGCUAUUUUUUGAAUAAUUCUACUAUAAAGCAACUAACAUGAACUUAUUUUAUCAUAUCAUGAUUGUUAGGAAUUUAUGAAUUUAGCUAUUCAUAAUCAUAAAUAAAUAUACCUGUUCUGGAAGGUUUGAUAAUUCUAAGCUUUGUUCAUCCAUAGCUUUUUCCAUUAAAAUAUACCUGUUUUUUUAAUAAAUAGUCAAAAUAUUUAUUGUGGAUAAGAGAGAUUUUUUGCUUCAACGCAUGAAGGCUUGACCUUUCUGCUGCCUUCCAUGCCUCUAUUUAUAAUGAGAAAAUGAAUAAUUUACAUGGAUCCCAAGUAUUCUUCCUGAUAUUACAAAGUCAAAAAAGGAGGCUAUCCUAAUAUAUCUCUUUACACGUUUCCUAAAUAAUUACAACUUUCAAAAAGUCUUAUAAAGACAAAGAAAACAUUAUGGCAAGUGCCAAAAAGUCUUAAAGUAAAUAGUAUAAUUUACGUAAAGUUUUUAAGAAAAAAUAUCUAUUCUUUCAUAUGUCACUUUCAACUUUAAUUAACUUGUCUCUCUAUUAUUGCUCUGUUGUUAUUUUCUUCUUGUCGUAUUUGCUGCUUCUCUAUCUUCUUUCCAGCUGGCAUGCUUAUCUUCUUGAUUCUUUUAUUCUAGGCAGACUUCUGGGAUAAUAUUAUCUUCUUCAUUACAUCUCGAACAUUAAUGAUCUGGAUAUUUGUGUCCAAUUAUCUUACAAUAUCUUGUUAAUAAUUUGUAUAAAAUAAAUUCUUUCCUCAUUGCUCUUGCAGUAGAUUAUUUUUCUGGGUUAAGUAACGUCAUUAUCCAUUGUCUAACAUCUUCUAAAUCUGCUAGUCAUAGUUUUUUUGAAUUUGAAUAAAUCAUCUGAUGGUCUCUUGAAUAAUAUCUCCAUAUUGGGUUUCCAUUGGUAUAAUUAUUUGAUAAUUCUUGAAUAAUUGUAGCUAGUCCAAUGAGUCGUUUAUUUGCAUAGAAAUCACGUAUCUCAAUUUUAAGUAUCUCUGGCUACUGCACAAUAUCUUUCGGUAUAAUCAUAUCUCUGGUUAAUCCUAUUUUUACAACUUUUAUAACUGGUUUGAUUUUGUCGUAUAAUAUCUCUGCUGGUGCAGUAUAACACUUUAUUUAAAAUAGAUUUCCUUUGGUUAUUCUUUUAUAGGUGGUGAAUAUUUUAUGUAAUUCUUCCAUAGUUGUUAGUUCUUCUCCGUCUUGGGUAUAUAUGAUAUUUAAUAAGCCACAGUCAAAAUAAGUUUUUAUUAAGCUUGAGUUGGUUUUGGGUAGUGCGAUUAGCUUGUUGUAACCUUGUAAUUUUUGGAUUAUAUAGUUUGUGUCUAGUUCUUGGGUAUCUGUAGCUCUAGGGUUAAGGUUUAGAAAAGCUUGUACUUUGUAGAUAUUUUUUAUAUAUUCUCAGGUUAUAUAGUUAUAAGCUUUUUUAUAUUGGUUCAGACUAUCUCGGUAUGUGGUAAUUUGUGGGGGUAGAAAUAAGGGGCCUUUUUGUGUUUUUGGUAUAAAUGGUUUCUCCAAUAUCUUAUUCAUGUUCAUGUUCUGGUAUCUUUGUCUACUAACUACUUUGCUUGUACCUACAAUUGUAGAUUGAUAAACGUUAUGGGUUUUAUGGNNNNNNNNNNNNNNNNNNNNNNNNNNNNNNNNNNNNNNNNNNNNNNNNNNNNNNNNNNNNNNNNNNNNNNNNNNNNNNNNNNNNNNNNNNNNNNNNNNNNNNNNNNNNNNNNNNNNNNNNNNNNNNNNNNNNNNNNNNNNNNNNNNNNNNNNNNNNNNNNNNNNNNNNNNNNNNNNNNNNNNNNNNNNNNNNNNNNNNNNNNNNNNNNNNNNNNNNNNNNNNNNNNNNNNNNNNNNNNNNNNNNNNNNNNNNNNNNNNNNNNNNNNNNNNNNNNNNNNNNNNNNNNNNNNNNNNNNNNNNCUUAUUUUUAAUAUCUUAUUUGGUAUUGGAUAAUUAUAUGUCAUAGUUUUUGCAUUUAGGUUUCUAUAAUCAAUAACCAUUCUACUUUUUCCUUUUUUUUGGUUCACUAUGUUUAUUUACUAUAAAUGUUGGACUAUUGUGUUUGCUAUUGCUUUUUUUGUAUAUACUAUUUUUCUAGUAUUUCAUCUAUAUGCAUUUUAAAUUCUUUUCAAUUGUCAAAAUUAUAUGUUAAUAGUUUUUGAGUUAUUAUGUUAUUUUUAUCUAUUAAUUCAAUUUUUAUGGUAGUUAUAUGUUUUUCCCAUCCUUUUAAUGGAUCUUCACUAUAUAAUUGUCUUAAUUUUUUCUUUAUUAUUUCCACCUUAUCUAUUGGAAAUAUAGUUAUUAUCAAAAAUACAACUAGUUCUACUGUGUCUUCUGUAUUUUUUAUAAUUUUUAACUUUUGUAUAAUUUUUUUACUUCCUUCUAUCCAAUCAGUUUUCUUUCUUAUUUUAUUAAUAACUCUUUUUGCUCUUACUUUUUGUUUACAUGGUGUUGUAAACCACCAAUCUGUUUUAGUUAUUAUAUGUGGGUAUAAUUUAUCUAAAAAUGGCGUUCCUAAAAGCAUAUCUUUUGAUGUCAGUUCAUAAUUAUAGAUUUCUUCUAUUGUUAUUAUUUUAUCUUAUAUCUGUAUUUUUACAUUUUUAGCUUUAUAUGUAAUUAAGCUUCCUUCAUUAUAAAAUCCUUUUACUACUAUUGGUGUUUAUAAUUUAUCCCAUUUAUUUUCUGGUAAACAGUUGUAUCUACAUAAGUUUGCUUCUGCUCCUGUAUCUAUCAUAGGUGUAUAAUAUCUAUUAUAAGAUCCUUCUACUAUUAUUUUUACAAGUACAUAUGUUUUCAUAUCAUGUUAAAGUUAUUUUCAUGAACAAUAUGCUUUAUUAUACAUUAUAGAUAAUUGUGUAUGUUCUAUAUUGUAUGGUUUUACUUGUUUUAACCAUUUUAUUCCUAAUAUUAUAUCUGUUUUUUGCAUUUCUUCCUUUAUUUCAAAUUUUAUUUUUAUUUUUCUAACUCCUAUUUUUUUUUCUACCGUAUCCUUAAUGUCUAUUAGGCUUCUUGGUAAAUCUGGCAUAUAUUAUUAUUAGAUUUUAUUUCUUCAUUCUUUUACUAGAUAUUUUGCUAUAUAAUUUUCUUCUUGUCCUGUGUUUAAGAGUAUUAAAUAUUCUUUUUCAUUUAUUGUUCCCGUUAUAUAAUAUUGAUUUAAAUUAACUGUUGAAGUUGUUUAAUAACUUGUUCUUUUUUAUGAAUUUAAUGAUUCUGGUUUUUUUGAGCUAUUCUUUCUGAUGUACUUAUCCUAUCAUUUAUUAUUUUUAAAUCUUCUUCUAUUUCUAUAUUCUUGUAACUAUAGUCAUUAUUAUCAAUUGUUUUUACGAAUUGUUCAAAAGGACUUUCUUUUUAUAUUUUAUUAAUUUUAUUUUUUCCUAUUAUUUUAUGUUUUGUUGUUAGUACAUAUAGAUUUUUUACAUCUUGCUGUAAAUAUUUUACUUCCUGGGGUUAGCUCUAUUCCUGAUAUUUUCCAAUAUAAUACUAAUGAUUUAUCUAUAUUUUUAUCUAUUAUUGCUGCUGAAUAAUUUACAGUUAUUAUAAAUUUAAUUUUUGGUAUAUUAAAUUUCCUUUUAUAGCGGUUAUUAUACUUUUUUCUAUAGGUUUUAUAAUUCUAUUAUCUGCAAAAUAUAAUUCUAUUAGUGUAUCUAUUCCUUCUCUAUAACAUUCUUUUAUUAAUAUCUCUGUUCCUCAAAAGUGUACAUAUUUUAUUGGGUCUUUACUUUUUAUAUCGUUUAUUUUUAUUAAUUAUUCUUUUUGUUACUAGUGGUAUGCUAGCUCUUCCUUUUGCAUAUCUACAAUCUAUUAUAUGUUUCUUUUGACUUACUACGUAGUAUUCUUCUAGUUCUUCCUUUUGCAUAUCUACAAUGUAUUACAUGUUCCUUUUGAGUUACUACGUAGUAUUCUUCCUUUUUUCUACUAAAUAUAUUUUUUAUUGUUGGUAUUUUAAAUAUUUUUUCCACACUUAAGUCUAACUCUUUUCCUUUUAUUUCGUCAAAUGUAUUACUGUCAAAUAUUAUUUUUUGAUUUGUUCUUUCUUCGUUUAAAUAUUCUUUCUUUAUUAUUAUUUUUAUAUCUUCUUCAGUUAUUUGGUCCAUUUUUAUAUCUACUUCAGUCAUUUGAUUCAUUUAAUUCACUAUCUAUUUUAUUAUUUGUUUCAUCCUCCGAAAUUUCAUAUAUACUGUCUUCACUUUCUAAUUCAUAAUCUAUAUAAUCUAUCUGCAUAUAUUCUGUAUUUUCUAUUUUUGUUUUUGAUAUUUGUUUAUUUUUUGGAUUUUUUGGCAAUUUACAAUCUCUAGCUAAAUGUCCUAGUUUUCCGCAAUUAUAACAAGAACAUUCUUUUAUAGAUUUCUUUUUUCUAUAUGGUCCUUUAUGUUUAUAAUUUCUUACAUAAUAUCUUUUUCUUGGUUUCUUAUAUUUAUAUUUUGAUUUUUUGUAUUUCUUAUAUUUCUUAUGUCUUUUUCUUUUCUUAUAAUAUCUUUCUUCACAUUCAAAUUGAGGUGCUAUUUUAUCUUUGCAACAUGCUAAAUUCUUAUUAAUGUUUUUUCUAUUUUUAUUUCUUCUCUAUAUUUUUCACAUAGAUUUCUAUACCAUUAUUGUAAAAAAUUUAUUCUUGCUCCUAGGAUACCUACUAUUUUUGCUUCAUCCCAAUUCUUUAUUAUUUUUGAACUAAAUGGUUCAGGUAAUUUACUAAAAUAUAAUUUUCUUAUUUCUUUACUUUCCUCUAUGUUAUAUGUUUCUUUAUAAUAAUAUUCUUUAAAUGUGCACAUAUAUUCAUCUAUAUAGCAUAUAUUACAUAUUACUAAUUUUAACAUUAAAUUUCUAUUCGUAUCUUUUUCUUUAUUUUGUUCUGCUUCUUCUGUUGUCAUACUGCUAAAUUCAUCACUUAUAGCUAUUUCAUAUUUUUUUCAAUAUUUCUGUUGGUAAUAUUUUGGUAGGUGUUGAUGUUCCUUCUGUUUUUGUAUCAUAUCUUAGUACUUUUUACUUGCUUCGACUAGUUUUAAAAACCAUAAAUUUACUAUUCCUAUUAAUGUCUUUUCUAUAUAUUUUGGUGUGUUUGUUGUAUCAAUUUUAUUAUCUAAUAAUUGUUUUGACAUGUAUCCUACCCAUAGUUGUAUUAUUUUAUUUGUGUCUAUUCCACUGUCUAAAUUUAAAAAGUUAUAAUUAGUUAUUUGUCUUGGUGUCCAUUUAUUAUAUUCAUCCUUUGGAUUAUAUCUUUUAAACUUACUUUUGUAAUUAUAGGUUGGUUUUCUUAUUUCUGAUGUACUAGGUAUUAUAUUUUAAUCUAGAGUAUUUACUUCUGUAUUUAUUAGUUCUAGAUUUUCUUUAUUAAUUAUUUCUUGUUUUUCAUUAAUUUCUAGUUUUUCUAUAUUUUCUAAAAUUUCUGUAUAUGUUUUACUACCUUUCAAGUCAUAAUUAUCUGUUUCCUUAGCAUUUAUUGUAUUUAUUUCUAAUUUAAUGGUUUCUGGUUCUUUAUUGUUUAUUUCUAAUUUUUCUUUAAAUUGAUUUAUCUCAAUUAAUAAUUUUUGUUCUUUAUCUUUUUCUUCUUUUUCUUUCUGUCUUUUUUCAUAUAAAUCUUUUAGCAUUUGUAGU
RNAcentral lists this long non-coding RNA (7481 nucleotides) under Capsicum annuum. RNAcentral's name for it is "long non-coding RNA (CANN_LNC009784)". The record is from RNAcentral. Lineage: Eukaryota; Viridiplantae; Streptophyta; Magnoliopsida; Solanales; Solanaceae.